This 296-nucleotide ribosomal RNA is filed under the name uncultured eukaryote. RNAcentral's name for it is "partial 18S ribosomal RNA". The stretch from base 91 to 296 matches the Rfam family "Eukaryotic small subunit ribosomal RNA", at positions 737 to 945 of the family's 1831-position model. The record is from RNAcentral.
CGUGGCGAUCGGUCCGCCCCUCACGGGGUGUGCACCUGGUCUCUACGUCCAUCCUCGGGGAGAGCGCGCCUGGCAUUCAGUUGUCGGGCGUGGGAUCCUCGUCAUUUACUGUGAGCAAAAUAGAGUGUUCAAAGCAUGCUUACGCCGUUGAAUACAUUAGCAUGUAAUAAUAAGAUAGGACCUUGGUCUAUUUUGUUGGUUUGUAUUCCAAGGUAAUGAUUAGGGGGGGUAGUUGGGGGUAUUCGUAUUCAAUUGUCAUAGGCGAAUUUCUUGGAUUUAUGGAAGACGAACUACUG